Molecule: ribosomal RNA, 239 nt
Filed under: uncultured bacterium
Lineage: Bacteria
Description: partial 16S ribosomal RNA
Rfam family: Bacterial small subunit ribosomal RNA
Source: RNAcentral
UACGGGGGGAGCAAGCGUUGUUCGGAUUUACUGGGCGUAAAGGGCGCGUAGGCGGCGUGACAAGUCACUUGUGAAAUCUCCGGGCUUAACUCGGAACGGUCGAAGUGAUACUGUCGUGCUAGAGUACAGAAGGGGCAACUGGAAUUCUCGGUGGUAGCGGUGAAAUGCGUAGAUAUUGCUCGGGAAGGCCAGAGCCGAAGGGGCCCCAUUGGUACGUAACUGACGGCUGAGGCACGAAA